RNAcentral lists this ribosomal RNA (253 nucleotides) under uncultured bacterium. RNAcentral describes it as "partial 16S ribosomal RNA". It matches the Rfam family "Bacterial small subunit ribosomal RNA", at positions 524 to 776 of the family's 1533-position model. The record is from RNAcentral.
UACGUAUGGUGCAAGCGUUAUCCGGAUUUACUGGGUGUAAAGGGAGCGCAGGCGGCACGGCAAGCCUGAUGUGAAAGCCCGCGGCCCAACCGCGGGACUGCAUUGGGAACUACCGGGCUGGAGUGCCGGAGAGGUAGGCGGAAUUCCUAGUGUAGCGGUGAAAUGUGUAGAUAUUAGGAGGAACACCAGUGGCGAAGGCGGCCUACUGGACGGUGACUGACGCUGAGGCUCGAAAGCGUGGGGAGCAAACAGG